Molecule: ribosomal RNA, 487 nt
Filed under: uncultured Dyadobacter sp.
Lineage: Bacteria; Pseudomonadati; Bacteroidota; Cytophagia; Cytophagales; Spirosomataceae
Description: bacterial SSU rRNA
Rfam family: Bacterial small subunit ribosomal RNA
Source: RNAcentral
AGAGUUUGAUCCUGGCUCAGGAUGAAACGCUAGCGGCAGGCUUAAUACAUGCAAGGCAGGGGGCAGCAAUGUCACCGUCGUACGGGUGCGUAACGCGUAUGCAACCUACCUUCAACUAGGGGAUAGCCGGGAAACCCGGAUUAAUACCGCAUAAUACAUUGAUAUAGCAUUAUAUUAAUUGUUAAAGAUUUAUUGGUUGAAGAUGGGCAUGCGUUCGAUUAGCUAGUUGGCAGGGUAACGGCCUACCAAGGCUACGAUCGAUAGGGGAGCUGAGAGGUUGAUCCCCCACACGGGCACUGAGAUACGGGCCCGACUCCUACGGGAGGCAGCAGUAGGGAAUAUUGGGCAAUGGAUGCAAGUCUGACCCAGCCAUGCCGCGUGCCGGGUGAAGGCCCUCAGGGUUGUAAACGGCUUUUAUUCGGGAAGAAGAGCGGGGAUGCGUCCUUGUGUGACGGUACCGAAUGAAUAAGCACCGGCUAACUCCGUG